RNAcentral lists this unclassified non-coding RNA (2570 nucleotides) under Actinia tenebrosa (Australian red waratah sea anemone). RNAcentral describes it as "ras-related and estrogen-regulated growth inhibitor- like, transcript variant X1". Lineage: Eukaryota; Metazoa; Cnidaria; Anthozoa; Actiniaria; Actiniidae. The record is from RNAcentral.
GUAAUGCAAAAGCACCGUUGCAGUCCUAUAUGUCCAUUCCUCGUUUUCCAAAUAUAUAUCAUUACUUGCCAUAAUUAAGAAAAAAAUCUAACUUUAAGCCGUCGAUAUUGUCAUUGAGUGGUCUUAUCUACAAAAUCAAGUGCUAACACGAAUUAACCUUGCAUUUGAAACAUACCAAGCCAUGCAGCAAGCCCAGCAAGAGUCCUUUUACCUCUAUAUUUACAUCUAUGUUUGAUUUACAUUCCAGAGAAAACCCAUUGCAGUGCUUGUCAGUUUCGCAAAGAAGCCAAUUCAGUGUCUGGGAUAAAUUGAAUGUAAUGUGAUUAUUGAUUGAGAAUGUGUCAGCCAAACUCGCCGACAUCGAGUGAGGGACGUUUCCUUGUCAUUGGUAGUAAAGGGGUUGGAAAAUCAGCUGUGACAGUACGCUACCUAACGAAAAGGUACAUCGGAGAAUACCAGUCCACGGCAGAAUUAACUUACACUCAAACCCUAAAACUAGACGAAGAUGUGAAAGGAUCGACGUUUGAGAUACGCGAUACACUUGAACGAGGAAAUAUUUCGUUAUACGAGAGUAGUAUUCGCUGGGCUGAUGGUUUUCUCGUGGUUUACUCCAUCACAGACAGAAACAGCUUCAACAACGCCAUCCAGCUAGUGGAAGCAGUGUAUGACGGGAAGGGGACGGAUGAAGUGCACGUGGCUUUGAUAGGCAAUAAAACCGAUCUGGAACACUUUAGAAUAGUGACUAAAGAAGAAGGAAAGUCAGCAGCCGCGCAGUUGGGUUGUAUGUUCUUCGAAAUAUCAGCCGCCGAAAACUACGAAAACGUUCAAGUGGCUUUGAACUCGUUGUUCCGUAAAGUAACCAUCCACAAGAAACUGAUGAUGAACGGGAAAGCGAAAAGGAAAACCUCUAGCUCCGAAAAGAAAAAAUACGGCUUUGGAAAUGGGUUAUUUAAACGAAAAAAUGAAAGGAAAAGUGUGCAGCGAAAGUUUGAUUUCAUCUGAAGCAAGUUACUUUUGAUGGACUCAUUCUUUCCCAGAAUCCUCAAGAAUUGACACGUGACCUUCGAUCGACUCCUUCAUACCCAGGCUCUUUCAUUCGUAACCAUGCUCCUGAUGGGAUUGUCACGUGACCUUCGAUCGACUUCUUCAUACCCAGGCCCUUUCAUUCGUAACCAUGCUCCUGAUGGGAUUGACACGUGACCUCGAUCGACUCGUACUAUAAGCACACAGAAUCCAUUCGUACCCAACCUUUUCUCGCGAUCAUAUGCACACUCAUUCGUAAUCAAGCUCUUUACUGAGUUAAACACCGACUUUAUUUAUCAUUUCUUAUACAAAUGUUGCUGAGUCAGACUUCGAAAAAUAAGGAAGCAACAAUUGUUGACGUAAUUUUCUUGAAAGUUCAUUCUUACAAAGACUUUUUCUUCGAAUUCUUACCAAGACAAGUAAAAAAAAAGAUUGAAAAUAAAUACUUGACAGACUGAUUAAACGAGAUUUUGUCGAAAAAAUGCAAGAUGUUUGCGGUAAUAUAUUCAAACUGGUUAAACAGGUAAAGCAAGUAGCAGGCGUGAAAAUAAAAACAAGUGAAGCUGGUUAAGCCUGUUUUCCAAAUGUGCGAAUUGUUAUCAAAAAAGGAUGAAAGAUCGUGAAGGUAGUUGGACAAACUGGUCAAACUUGUUUCAUAAGUACAAGGAUUAGUCGGAGCAGUCAAACCUGUUUUACAAGUAUGCAGUAAUGUGUGAAAAAAGUUAAUUUAGAAGUUUUGCGAAUAAUAUCCUUUCGAAGUGUAAUAUUUCAGUUAUUCGAUUUCAUCUUUCCCAAAGCGUUCCAAACCAUCUGAUCGAACUUAAGCACAGUCGUCAUGGUAGCCUCUCGGUCAAGACGGAGAAGUUCCUCAACAGGUGAAGGAAGUUUGUCGUUUUCCUGCUCAACGUCCCUUGGGGCAGUUUUCUGGAAUAUUCUAGCAUCUUCCUUUUCAUGCGCAACAUUAUUUUGAACGUGUCUCCUUCUUCGUCCAUGCUUUCGUCUUUUCUUCUGCUUCUUCUUUCUCUUGUUCUUUCGUCUUCCGCCUCGUGGUUCCUCGACAUCCUCGUCCAAGCCUUCUUCCUCCUCGCUGUAAACUUCUUGUUUUGGUAGCUGGUGAGCAUUGGCCCCGAGUUGGUUCUCACUGAAAAGAAAAAACGGUUACUAAGACUUGAAAAUACCUCUUGUCAUUCUCGUGAGCCAGUUACAUUUAGUUAGCGGACCACGCACAAGGCGCAUGAGUAAAUAUCUAGGGUUGCAUCAAGAUGGUCACGGGAUGCCUGUCACCCACUUUAUUAUUAUGCAAAUGUAUUUUGGGUGAGGAUAACAUUCAAGUUUUGGAUGAGAGGGAAACAUUCCACGAUAGGACAGGAAAUGACGUCAAGGGAAACUAAGCAAUAACGAAUUAGCACGGCACGGAAUAUAUAAGCUUAUUAACUUACUAUGCGUUGGAUUGUCUAGUGUCUUGUAGUGUUGCUACAGCUGCAAUGCUUGCCAAGAUGGAUCUGGCUGAACUAAUUGAAAUAAAAAUAAAAGUAUAAGUUGUAAAA